Non-coding RNA from Vicugna pacos (alpaca), 684 nucleotides. The record is from RefSeq and is a predicted model, not a curated record. NCBI's taxonomy places the organism in Eukaryota, Metazoa, Chordata, Mammalia, Artiodactyla, Camelidae.
CGGUUCCGGGACCGCGCGGCCCGCGUGUCUGCGGGAGAAGGACGCUCCCCGCCCACUGUCUGAGGUUAUGCCGGUUUCCCGCGGCCUGAGCCCGCUUCCUGCCGGGGUUUGUGUGGACCUGACCGAGCUGGGACCCCGGCCGGGCAGGAGGUGACGGGUGUGCUGUCGGGCCCGCUUCGACUAUUCUCAUCGCCCUCCGGGAGCGGGUGAGUGUCCGUGUCCAUCCGGGCCGCGGGGGUGUUCACGCCCCUGGUCCUCGCCGCCCGGGUCCCCCCUCCCCCGUGUGAUCGGAGGCCAUUUGAAUAUGUUCACCCAUGAAGUGAAACAGACUACCUGAAGUCUGAGUCCUGAGAGACAUCUCCGGUGAAAUGCUUCUUAGACAGUGACCCAGGACACAGCCCUAGCAGUGGCGUGGUGAUGUGUGGAAGCCUGAUUCAGACCUGCGUCUCUGAAUCCCCAUGGCUAGUACUGCUUUUCUUCUCAAGUCUGCUCUAUGUCCAUCUUUCAGAGGUCCUGGCCUCUCUUGCCUACUGCCUGGGGAGGAUUAGCCCACACACCUGAAGAAGUGCUGCUCAUCCUGGAUUUUCAGAUAUUCCAAUCUAUGAUCCACAUCAUCCAGAAGAGUGAGGCAAUUCUGUAUAUGGAGGAGGAAAUGGUUUGUUAAUUUAACUACUAAUCUUGAAA